AAGCGAAUAAGUGCACAUGGUGGAUGCCUUGGCAGUCAUAGGCGAUGAAGGACGUGGUAGCCUGCGAAAAGCUACGGGGAGCUGGCAAACAAGCUUUGAGCCGUAGAUGUCCGAAUGGGGAAACCCACCCUUUUAGGGGUAUCGCACAGUGAAUACAUAGCUGUGCGAGGCGAACCUGGAGAACUGAAACAUCUAAGUACCCAGAGGAAAAGAAAUCAACCGAGAUUCCGAGAGUAGUGGCGAGCGAAAUUGGAACAGCCUGUACGAUUUAGCAUUUGAGUUAACAAAACGGUCUUGAAAGUCCGGCCAUAGAAGGUGAUAGCCCUGUAUGUGAAAACUCGAUUGUGGAACUAGGCGUACGACAAGUAGGGCGGGGCACGAGAAACCCUGUCUGAACAUGGGGGGACCAUCCUCCAAGGCUAAAUACUCCUGACUGACCGAUAGUGAACCAGUACCGUGAGGGAAAGGCGAAAAGAACCCCGGGAGGGGAGUGAAAUAGAACCUGAAACCGUAUGCGUACAAGCAGUGGGAGCCUACUUUGUUAGGUGACUGCGUACCUUUUGUAUAAUGGGUCAGCGACUUACAUUCAGUGGCAAGCUUAACCGAGUAGGGAAGGCGUAGCGAAAGCGAGUCCGAAUAGGGCGUCUAGUCGCUGGGUGUAGACCCGAAACCAGAUGAUCUAUCCAUGGCCAGGUUGAAGGUUGGGUAACAC
Molecule: ribosomal RNA, 712 nt
Filed under: Ditylum brightwellii
Lineage: Eukaryota; Bacillariophyta; Thalassiosirophyceae; Lithodesmiales; Lithodesmiaceae
Description: partial Bacterial large subunit ribosomal RNA
Rfam family: Bacterial large subunit ribosomal RNA
Source: RNAcentral